RNAcentral lists this long non-coding RNA (1005 nucleotides) under Oryctolagus cuniculus (rabbit). RNAcentral's name for it is "lncRNA (ENSOCUG00000032370.1)". The record is from RNAcentral. Lineage: Eukaryota; Metazoa; Chordata; Mammalia; Lagomorpha; Leporidae.
UCCACAAAGGGUCCCACCCACAAGAAAGGCUGGCUAAUGUCAUUACUACAGAUUGUGUAUAGAAACAAGUAGCUUCCCCACCAAAGGCGGCUUCCGGAGGGUGAUGGGUAAAACCCACCUUUAUCCAACUUCAACCAACUCUUCGUCUUCUUUGCCACUAGAGAUCAUUCUCUUACAGCUAUUUCCAGAACUGGAUGCUGCCCACCCAACACAUCAGAGCUGCAAAAGCCAGGAGGCACAUGCAAGGCAGUUCAGACCUGCACUGGACCCCACCCACACUCACAGAACACGGAACUUGGACAGAGCCACCGACAGGACAGGGGUUCAAUACAGAAACACAAACUCUGUGUUGAACUGAAAGUGUAAUAAGCAGCACGUGGCCCCGAAUCCUAAAGUCCCUCCUCUCCUUCACCCAUCCACAGCCUGUCUCAUGGCAGAAUUCUGCUCCCACCAGACUGAAGCUGGGCUUCCAGGAAGCCAAUGCAAGCAGUCUCUGUAGCUGAGACUCAGGGCUUCCUCCAAGGUUGGUCUCCUGCAGCAGUUAUGCAGAGAUCCAAGUCAAAUUCAGAUAUCUUAAACCAAAAGGAACAGAGUGCGGAUUUCACAAUGAAAUUCACUUGCCAGGAAAGCGUCCGAAGGAACACUAGGUCCCUCCUUCUCCCUCCAUUCUCAACCUUCUCCCAUGAAGACCUAACAGUCUCAUUUAAUCAUUCAUUCCGUGUAAAGCUGUUACCUACAGCGCCAGCAUCCUAUAGGGGCGCUGGUUUGAGUCCCAGCUGCUCUAUUUCCAACCCAUUUCUCUGUUAAUGUGCCUGGGAAAGCAGAAGAGGAUGGCCCACGUGCUUGGACCCUGAAAGCAUGUUGGAGAUGGGGAAGAAGCCCCUGACUCCUGGCUUCAGCCUGGCCCAGUCAUCUAGGGAGGGAGCCAGUGGCUGACAAAUCUCUCUCUGUCUCUUCCUCUAUGUAACUCUGACUUUCAAUAAAUAAAGAUAUUUUUAAAAAUCA